Molecule: long non-coding RNA, 296 nt
Filed under: Physcomitrium patens
Lineage: Eukaryota; Viridiplantae; Streptophyta; Bryopsida; Funariales; Funariaceae
Description: long non-coding RNA (PPAT_LNC004630)
Source: RNAcentral
AAUAAAUAAAUAAAUAAUGGAGAGAGAGAAAGAGAGAGAGAUGGUUGCUAGUAGUAAUGACUCCAGGGUAAUGCCUCUGUACAAUAAGGGCCUCUUGGAAGGCCCUCAUGACAUUCCCCAUAAUCAACAACAACUACCUUCUCAUUUGGCCAUCCUUAUUUUUCCAUUCCAUCCAUUCACCCCCCAACAAAGUAACAGAAACAAGCCCUUCUUUCUCCUCCCACUCUCUUUCACUCCGUCACGAAAUGAUUUUCAAAGUAAUUUAAUCAUGUUUUCAGAGAAAAAUCACGAAAACA